AGUGAACGCUGGCGGUAGGCCUAACACAUGCAAGUCGAACGGCAGCACAGUAAGAGCUUGCUCUUACGGGUGGCGAGUGGCGGACGGGUGAGGAAUACAUCGGAAUCUACUUUUUCGUGGGGGAUAACGUAGGGAAACUUACGCUAAUACCGCAUACGACCUACGGGUGAAAGCAGGGGAUCUUCGGACCUUGCGCGAUUGAAUGAGCCGAUGUCGGAUUAGCUAGUUGGCGGGGUAAAGGCCCACCAAGGCGACGAUCUGUAGCUGGUCUGAGAGGAUGAUCAGCCACACUGGAACUGAGACACGGUCCAGACUCCUACGGGAGGCAGCAGUGGGGAAUAUUGGACAAUGGGCGCAAGCCUGGUCCAGCCAUACCGCGUGGGUGAAGAAGGCCUUCGGGUUGUAAAGCCCUUUUGUUGGGAAAGAAAAGCAGCAGGUUAAUACCCCGCUGUUCUGACGGUACCCAAAGAAUAAGCAUCGGCUAACUUCGUG
Molecule: ribosomal RNA, 492 nt
Filed under: uncultured bacterium
Lineage: Bacteria
Description: partial 16S ribosomal RNA
Rfam family: Bacterial small subunit ribosomal RNA
Source: RNAcentral